Molecule: non-coding RNA, 30 nt
Filed under: Mus musculus (house mouse)
Lineage: Eukaryota; Metazoa; Chordata; Mammalia; Rodentia; Muridae
Source: RNAcentral
UGAUGAGGUGUCCUCGGACUGGCUGCCCGC